CCCUUAGAUGUCCUGGGCCGCACGCGUGCUACACUGACACUUACACCGAGUUUUUCCGGCCCCGAGAGGUGGCUGGUAAUCAGUAAUAGGUGUCGUGAUGGGGAUAGAUUAUUGCAAUUAUUAAUCUUCAACGAGGAAUGCCUAGUAGGCGCAAGUCAUCAGCUUGCGUCGAUUACGUCCCUGCCCUUUGUACACACCGCCCGUCGCUCCUACCGAUUGGGUGUGCUGGUGAAAUGUUCGGAUCGGCCGUUUGUCGCGGUUUCCGCGUCAUGUGGCUGAGAAGUUCAUUAAACCCUCCCACCUAGAGGAAGGAGAAGUCGUAACA
Molecule: ribosomal RNA, 325 nt
Filed under: uncultured eukaryote
Lineage: Eukaryota
Description: partial 18S ribosomal RNA
Rfam family: Eukaryotic small subunit ribosomal RNA
Source: RNAcentral